This 69-nucleotide transfer RNA is filed under the name Xenurolebias myersi. RNAcentral's name for it is "tRNA-Ala". It matches the Rfam family "tRNA". Rfam says of the family: Transfer RNA (tRNA) molecules are approximately 80 nucleotides in length. Their secondary structure includes four short double-helical elements and three loops (D, anti-codon, and T loops). The record is from RNAcentral. Lineage: Eukaryota; Metazoa; Chordata; Actinopteri; Cyprinodontiformes; Rivulidae.
AAGAUUUUAGCUUAAUUAAAGUUUCUGCUUUGCAUGCAGAGGAUGUGGGUUAAACUCCUGUAGGUCUUA